ACAACCUCAAUUUAAGUGAGA
RNAcentral lists this ribosomal RNA (21 nucleotides) under Steinernema abbasi. RNAcentral's name for it is "partial 28S ribosomal RNA". Lineage: Eukaryota; Metazoa; Nematoda; Chromadorea; Rhabditida; Steinernematidae. The record is from RNAcentral.